UACGGGGGGGGCAAGCGUUGUUCGGAAUUACUGGGCGUAAAGGGCUCGUAGGCGGCCAACUAAGUCGGAUGUGAAAUCCCCAGGCUUAACCUGGGAACUGCAUCCGAUACUGGAUGGCUUGAAUCCGGGAGAGGGAUGCGGAAUUCCAGGUGUAGCGGUGAAAUGCGCAGAUAUGUGGAGGAACACCGAUGGCGAAGGCAGCCCCCUGGGUUAACACUGACGCUCAUGCACGAAAGCGUGGGGAGCAAACAGG
RNAcentral lists this ribosomal RNA (253 nucleotides) under uncultured bacterium. Its description in RNAcentral is "partial 16S ribosomal RNA". It matches the Rfam family "Bacterial small subunit ribosomal RNA", at positions 524 to 776 of the family's 1533-position model. The record is from RNAcentral.